GGAAAUACAUCGGCUAAUUGAUCUUCCAUUAGAAUCUUAUACAAAUGACUAUAAGUUUUGUCAAAGUAGUCGGAAAUGUCCUUUUUAGGAACUUAAUUGUCUAGUUCGUCGGUCGUCGCCUUUUGAAUGCGGCCAAUUGACUGUAAUACAUUUUUAGUUAG
Chrysoperla carnea is the source of this 161-nucleotide long non-coding RNA. RefSeq lists it as uncharacterized. The record is from RefSeq and is a predicted model, not a curated record. The transcript has 3 exons. Lineage: Eukaryota; Metazoa; Arthropoda; Insecta; Neuroptera; Chrysopidae.